RNAcentral lists this microRNA precursor (197 nucleotides) under Medicago truncatula (barrel medic). RNAcentral's name for it is "MIR2630 microRNA precursor family". It matches the Rfam family "MIR2630 microRNA precursor family". Lineage: Eukaryota; Viridiplantae; Streptophyta; Magnoliopsida; Fabales; Fabaceae. The record is from Rfam by way of RNAcentral.
CUCUGUAAAUAUAAAAUAUUUGGUUUUGGUCCUCGGUAUUUUGUUUUAAUCAUUGUAAAAUCAUUUCGUACUGAAAUUGGUCCCUAUAAUAUUCAUUUUAAUCCUCAUUUUGAGGGACUAAAAUCAAAUAUUAUGCAUAUUACAAGGACUAAAACAAAAUACCAAGAACCAAAACCAAUUUUUUAUAUUUGCAGGGA